This 211-nucleotide long non-coding RNA is filed under the name Mytilus galloprovincialis (Mediterranean mussel). Lineage: Eukaryota; Metazoa; Mollusca; Bivalvia; Mytilida; Mytilidae. The record is from RNAcentral.
UGAGUUUAUUUAUUAGGAAAUUAAAAUAGAAGAAAUAGUAAGCUGUAAAGAUUAGAACAAGGUUUAUUGAUUGAACCAGUUAUUAUCAAUACCGAAUAUUUUUGCAGUUUUGGAUGAUCGCUUGUAAAUCUUUCGUGUUUGGACAACAUUGUUACGUCUUUCGUGACGUAUUAUUGUUAAGAACUGUAAUUCUGACGAUUGCUAAUUUGCA